This 236-nucleotide long non-coding RNA is filed under the name Capsicum annuum. RNAcentral describes it as "long non-coding RNA (CANN_LNC021292)". The record is from RNAcentral. Lineage: Eukaryota; Viridiplantae; Streptophyta; Magnoliopsida; Solanales; Solanaceae.
AAUUUCAUGAUAUUCGAAAAUGGGUAUACACUCAAAUUACUUUAUGAAGGAUUUAUAAGACUUUGAAUUUUUUUUCAAUAUGGAUAUACAUGAUUACUUCAUUACUCUACUUAAAUUGAAAAUUUAUGCUAUGAAUUGCAUACUACUACAAUGAAUUGAUAUUUCUAAAGGCUUUCGAGAUAAAAGUCGUGAUUUGAGUUGUACUACGGGAGAUGUAUUCUUAUUAUGAAUUGAAG